AUAAAUUUAUAUGAAUCAUGCUACAAAUUUUAUUAGCUUAAUUAUAUUAUUCCAAAAAAUCAAACAGGGUUAUAAAAGUAAUAAGUAUAAGUGAAUGUUCCCAGACACUCAACUCAUUAUUUUCCUCUUAGCUUUGGGGUCUGUACUUUCUUGUAGGUUAUUAAAUAAGUAAAUGCUCUCUUAAAAUAUUUCUAUUUCCUCAGACAAAAGAAAAAAUAUACCUUAUAUGAUUCAGACUUCGGUCAUAUACUUGGAUGUUUUCCAGAAGAAAACCAACAUGAUCAAAGAGUUAAUUUGCUCCUUUACAUCCCUAGCAACUUUGCAAUCAGCAUGUUGGUUGUCCUGAGAUCCUACUGUCUCUCCAAUCACCAAGACAUGCUCUUUUAUUUUAGAGGUUCGUUCUUUGAGUUUUUUGGGGGUUUUUUUGAGACAGGGCCUUCUCAAGUUCCAAGCUGAUCUCAAACUCACUAUAUGUCACUGGCUGGCCCCUCACUUGUGAUUGAAUUUCCUCAACCUCCCAGAAUUCUGGGAUUAGAAAUGUGAGUGAGCAUCCCUCUCUUGGCCUCUCUUAGUUACAGACACUGGCACAAAACUUUAAAAUGACCAGAAAACAAUGUAUAAAUUACUCUAAAGAAAGCAUUGCGUUUACAGCACAUUGUAAAAUUUGUACUCUGCUCAUUUUCCUGAGUUAAAUUUGAUAUGAAUACAGCCAAUCUUUUUUGAGCUUAUACAAUCUAGGUACCAAACUUCCUCCUAAGUUCUUUGGAAAUCAAAAUGGAGUAAGCGAUCAAACAAGGAGGAUAAUUAUGGAGACUGAUAGAAGGAAGAAUGCUCAGAGGAGACCUAGUAUGAAAAUGAAGCUCCAAUGUGUCCAUGUUGUCUAUCUCGAGACACUGAUUACACAUCACUGCAUCCCUCCUCCAUCACAUCUUGUGGGAGAUGUGACAUACUCAACCGUCCAGAGAAUAGAGUGCAGGUGAUGUUUACAAUCAAGAAGUUAGUAGCAGAAAUGUAGGAUAAUACCUUCUCAGGAGGAUCAAGACAGGUUUUAUGAAGAGUUGAUCUUUAAAGCAGGUUUUGAAGAAAGGGAAACAUUGCCAAGGGACAGUGCAUAGAGAAAUCUCUAAACUAAUGAGAGCAGGAGUGAUCUUGGAAGAUCAUUUAUUUGAGUUGACAGGUGCACAGGAGGAGACAGAAGGGGUCGUUGUAAAUAUAAUUGCAAUAGAAAGUACAUACUGAUAUCAUGAUUGAUGACUACAUAAAAUGCUUUUCUAAAGGAGUUUACUUUUAUUUAAUGUCUUUUGACAAAGCAUAGCUUAAAGAGCCUCUGAAGACAAUAUGUUUGCUAAGUUGAAUUAAGAGUGAAAUAAAGUAGAGCAAAUCAGGUCAAUAAAAAAUCAAGACACAAAGUAAUUGAUUGUUAGAGAUGCAGGAGUAUUUCUCUUGCUUUUCUAUUUAUUUUAUACUUUAUUUAUUAUUAUGAAUAUCUAGUCUAGCUCAUUUCACUUAAAAAGGUUAUAGAAGUUCAUAUUUAUCUAUGUUAACACCACAGUUUUCUUUCCUCAUCUGUAAAAUAUGUAUUACAGAAUCUCCUUUCCAAUUUAGAGCUUGUGAUCAUGCACUGAAGAUAUUUUUUAUAUCCUAUGUUGCAUUGUAAAAAUAAAUAAUUUUUCCUAAAUCAUGUGUAAACUUCAUUUUAUAAUUGACAUGGAGCAAACAUAUCAUCUUUAAAAAGCACCAAUACAAAAUAUCUUUUACCUUCUUUAGUCCACCGUAAAACACAUACCCUCCAGGACCAUUGAUUCUGACUUCAUUUGCUUUUCAUUUCCUUCAGUGAUUAGCUAAUUGCACCAUACUAUUGAGGGCUGUUCAUCAUCAAAGAACAAUAUUGAAGGUCUGAGCUUCUUAGCAACUCCAAAGCCCCAAGUAUCCCUAUACAUACAGACAGCAGCUAUUGAAAGGGAG
Molecule: long non-coding RNA, 1965 nt
Organism: Heterocephalus glaber (naked mole-rat)
Lineage: Eukaryota; Metazoa; Chordata; Mammalia; Rodentia; Bathyergidae
Source: Ensembl